RNAcentral lists this ribosomal RNA (409 nucleotides) under Chelonus insularis. RNAcentral describes it as "partial 16S ribosomal RNA". The record is from RNAcentral. Lineage: Eukaryota; Metazoa; Arthropoda; Insecta; Hymenoptera; Braconidae.
CAAAAACAUGUCUAAUAGAUUAUAUAAUUUUUAGUCAAAUCUGCUCAAUGAAUUUUAAAUAGCUGCAGUAUAAAUAACUGUACUAAGGUAGCAUAAUAAAUAGUUUCUUAAUUAGAAACUUGUAUGAAAGAUUUAAUGAAAAAUUAACUUUAUUUAUUAAAAAAAAUUUAAUUUUUAUUUAAAUAAAAAUAUUUAAAUAAAAUAAAUAAACAAAAAGACCCUAAAAACUUUAUAAAUUUUAUAAAUAAAUUUAUUUAAUUGGGGAAAUUAAAAAAAUUAAAAAAUUUUUUUAUUAUAAACAAUAAUAUUUGAAAAAAAUAAUUUUAAUAAAAUAAAUAAAAAAGUUACUUUAGGGAUAACAGUAUAAUUUUUUUUUUUAGAUCAAAUAAAUAAAAAAGUUUAUGACCUC